GUGUAGGUUCAAGAAUGGCCCCCGUCAUAUUGUCAGGUGAAUACCUGCAACGUGCGGGGGUUUUCU
This 66-nucleotide antisense RNA is filed under the name Escherichia coli. RNAcentral describes it as "rdlD antitoxin". It matches the Rfam family "rdlD antitoxin". Lineage: Bacteria; Pseudomonadati; Pseudomonadota; Gammaproteobacteria; Enterobacterales; Enterobacteriaceae. The record is from RNAcentral.